RNAcentral lists this long non-coding RNA (938 nucleotides) under Coturnix japonica (Japanese quail). RNAcentral's name for it is "lncRNA (ENSCJPG00005000197.1)". Lineage: Eukaryota; Metazoa; Chordata; Aves; Galliformes; Phasianidae. The record is from RNAcentral.
AUGAAAUACCACAAAUCCGUAUUUUUAUGUUUCAAACAGUGCUGAAGAAGAACUCAAAGGCCAUAAGAACAAGUUGCACAGAAGAUCCAAGAAUAUGUGCAUGGAGAUACAAAUAAAAUAUUAGAAAGGUUGUUUGUGUUAAGAUGGAAAUGAAAUGCUUUAGGUCACAGGAAAGGGCCAGGAGAUCCCAUAGCAUGAUGAGAUGGACAUUAAUCCAGGAUGGCAUCAAUUUGUGAAAUGAGAAGACAACAACUAAAUAUAUUCCAAGACAAAGUAAUCAUGACAGCCUGCUAAUUCUUGGAGAUACUGUAAAGUCUCACUCUUCCAGGCAACCUGCUCGCUGGAGACAGCGCGGAGAAGCAGAGAAAGAAAAUGAAAUCCAGCACAUGCCUACCGUGGUAAAAACAGCAAAACCAAGCCAAUACCCGACCCAGACCCAGUCCUCCAAGGAAGGGGUGCAAAGUAGCCCUAUUUCUUUUUGCUUGUAAUUCUCCUCUUGUUAUUGCCCACAACUGUCUCUCAUCUCUCACUGAGGACGCAGGCUGGCUGUGUGGAUGCAGGGUGACAAGAGACUGCUUUAAUUUGCUCCGUGAAUAUCAUUCUACUUAUAUCUCUCUUUUCUUCCCCAGAUGAUAAAAAGGUUACUUAGAGAGCAAUGACACUUUUCCUUCUUAGGCAAAGACAGCCAAAGUAAGGACCAAUUGUUUCACAGUGUCUAGAGUUUGCCUGGGUGCUUUUUGUUUUUUGCCUUUGUGAUUUAAUUUUAUUUUAUUUUUCCUUGUUUGUGGGAAUUUUUGCUUCUGGGCAUGGAAGAGUGAUUUUUUUCUUCAUUUUGUUUUACCAAAGCAGUUAUUUACUUUAUGCCCGAAAUACACUAUGAAGUGCAUUUUAAAAUAUAUUACGAAAUGUGGCAACCCUGCCUAAUGAAUGAGAAAAUG